AGAAAUGUGGCUUUGUUCAAAGUCACAGAGACACAGCACAGAGGGCCCCGGCUAGCACACCUGUCCCUGUCACAGAGGUCUCUGCUACCCCACCUGUGCUCUGCCUCAGAUUGGUUCUCAGACUGUGGGAAUGAAUUCAACUACACAGGAUUACUGAAUCUUCCCACAUAUUGGCUUACUACAGCAUAAUAUUUAUAUUUUGUUCUCUCCAACAUCACCAUCAGAUCAUCUAAUUUUUAUAAAUCCAUGACUAGAACAUUUUAAUUUUGUUACUUAUGGUCACGUGAAUCAAUUUUUUAACCGUACACUGUAUUUAUAAGUUAAAAAUUUAUAAAUUCAAGACGCUGUAAAGUUUCUGUCUUUAACAUGUGAAGGAAACGCAGGCUGGAAGUCACAAAGAGAGCAGGGGUCCCCAUUUCCCAGCAUCCUGUGGAGAGGUGUGCUUGCACCAGGUCAGAGCUAGACGAAUGUGCUUCAGUAGGUUUUUUUGAAGGGUGUGGUAGUGCACCUUGCUAGUCUCUGUUCAGAUCUUCUCAAAUGCGUUCUAACAGUUCUGUACCCUCCUUCUUCAGUGUCAUUGUGCUUUUGGUUCAUACAGUCCAUACUGUAAGACUCCUCUUCAUCCGACAACCCUUGGACUACUAGAGUUGUCUUCCCAGAAGCACAAAGGGCAAAAAGUGCUUGGGAGGUCACAUCCCACCAACUCCUCACCUUCCCCCACCAAUAACAAACAGCUGAGAGCUUGUCUUGCCUUUGCACAGAACAAAUCUGAGAAGUAACUUAGACUCCAGAGUUUUUCUGUAGGAUCAAGCUAAAGCUACUCUUCUCCAGACUUCAUCAAGGAUCACAUCUUUGCUUGUCUUCUUCUCCUUCUCUGACUUGCUUUUCCCCACUCCUUUAUAUGUUUCUCUAGGAAGAGUUCUAUAGUGAAUCACUUGCACAAGAUAAUCUUUAAUCUUGGGUUAGGAUCUAUUUUCCGAUAACUUGACUUCAAACAUGGGGCAAGUGUGGAAGCCAACUCUUACCUGCAGAUUUAUUUGGUCACCAGGCUUUCUGACCUUAGUGUCAGCAGUUUUCAGUUGUGAAAUAGCAGCUGCUGAGCACAUGGAAAUCUGGGGAAGCCAUGGGAGGUUUGGUAGGUGUAUUAGUUAUCUUUUGCUUGUAACAAAUUACCCCAAACUUAACAGUUUAAACAAUGCACAUUCAUAAUCUUACAGUGUCUGUGUGUCAGGAAUCACAGCACAAUUUAACUAAGUCUUCUUCUUUAGGGUCUCCCAUGAAACUAUAAUCAAAGUAUCAGACUGGACUGCAGUCACACUGGGGUUUAACAAGAUUUGAAGACUGGCACCUUAACAGCCAUCUUUGGAGCAUGAGGGAAAGGCAAAGAGGAUUACAGACACAUCAUCCUUGAGCCUCUAGCCCAGCACUGCCUACCACCAGAUUCCUCAAUAUGAAGGAAACAUAAACAUAAAUUGCCUCAGCCAUUGUGCUUGGGUUUUCUCUCGCUUAGAACCAAAUAAGGCUUUCAUUUUUCAUCUAUCUCAGUGUUUCCUUAAAUGUUGGAUAUAUGUCUUUGAUGUUAUGACUACAGAAGCUAAUUUCAUGUUGUUUAGAGCAAGUCACUAAAUAAUAUUAUGUCAAUAACAUAAACUUCAUUUCGUUUCUCAUUUUACUGCAGUCAUUCGGAUUAUAUAAAGACCUAAGUAUGACUUAAAUAGUCAUUUUUUUUUAAUUAUCCUUUUCUAAAAUGCCUAAACAGGCUAUCAAGCUUAUAAUUAAUAGUAUUGUUUUGAUCAUAUUUGUAUUUAUCAUUACUUUUCCUUCAUAUUAAACAAUGCUGGUUUCUGUUUUUGACAAGUUUAUUAGCAGACGUAGGGAACUAUGUUAAGAAAAUAUGGACUCAGGUGGCACAUGCAUAUGGCAAAAUUCUUGAGGGUAAAAUAGCAAAUUAUUAAAGCAGGGAAACACCAUUGCACCAUGUCACUUUUAAUGGUUGUAGACUGUACUCUCAGAAGAUUAUAUUUGGGUGUAAUAUUUAGAAUAUUAACAUCUUGCAUGUUGUGGGCACAAACCGCCAACCAAUAAUCAUAAAGCAAAUGGCAGAAACAGAUGCUAACAUAAACCGUUGGAACUGUGGGUGACUAUCAGCUACUUAUCAGGCCUGAUUGUAACAACAGUGCAUUUAAUCAGUCGCUUAGUAAAAACUACAUUUAAGUUGUGACAUGUUAGCAGCCAAAUCUUUGCUAAAUUUAUUCAUCAAAUAAAUGUUUCAAUUAUUUCCUCAAGAUUAAUGACUAAAAGUUAAGUUUCUGGAGACAAUGACAAAUAUUUUUUAAGUAUUUUCAUAUGUAUUUACCUAAAUAUCUCCCAGAAUGCUUAUACCAAUUCCAUUCCUACAAAUAUUGUAAAAAACUGAAUUUUUUUCUCAAUCUUUCUAUCAUGUUUUUUGUUCAUGAACAAACAGGUCUAUUUGUUCGUAAUCAUUUUCUUUUAUUCAUGAAAUAUGUCACAACAAUCACUCAAUUCAAUAUAUAUUAAUCUAACAAAUUAUUUCAAAAUUUCAGUAUAUUUUAAAUAUUAAAUGCCACACAAUGUACUUUAUUUUUAAAUUGGUAGAUAUUUGUACUUAUUUAUUGUGUACAUGUGAUUUUUGACAUGUAUCUACAAUGUGUAAUGAUCAAAUCAGAGUAUGCAGCUCAUCCAUCACCUCAAACAUUUAUCAUUUCUUUGUGUUGGGAACAUUUCAAACCUUCCGUUCUAGCUAUUUACACAAUGCACUUUCUAACAAACUAAAUAACGUUGAGAUAUAAAAUGAUAAUGCUAGUAAUUUUCACUCACCCUACCUACUUCACAAACAUACCUACCUUGAGUCUAUCUUUUUAGCAGAGAUAUCUCAUAUUAUUCCAUUUUUAAACACACAUAUGCCAAUAUAUAGCCAUGUAUAAGGACUUCAAAUACUUCUGUCUUAGAAAAAUGAGAUUUUAAUAACAGUUUGGCAAUUUUUGUCUUUGGAGUAUCAUUUACAUCCCAUCACAUCAAUAGUGAGAGAUACAAUUCACUUUUGAUGUUGGGUUAUACUACACGGUGUUAAUAUUUUAUAACCAAUUCAAACAUUACCUACUCUAUUGGCAUAUAUAUAUCUACUCCCAAAUCUUUUGCUACCAUUAAAAAAGUCCCUGUAGACAUACAUGUUUCUACUCAUGUUUAUUGAGUUUUUCUCUUGAAGAGAGAUCUCCUCCACUUCACACACAUAACAAAAUAGGAUUGUUAAGUCAGAGUAUGUAUAAUUUUAACUCACAGUUGUUAUAGAAUAUGUGAGACUACAUUUCUCCACAAAAUGUUCCAGUAUACAUAUUUCCCCAUUUAAUACUGGAUAUUACUAGUCUUUUAAAUUUUGUUAAUCUGAUGUUUUUUAAAAAUGAUGUUUUCUUGUGAUUUACUUACCAUGAGUUUCAGAAUAUUUUUUAUUUCCUUCUUUAUUUUAAUAAUUUUCAGUUAUCUUUUAUGGGUUGUCUUUCUUGCUUAUUGUAUCAUUUUUACUUUAACUUUUGCUGUUUUUGAAUUUAUAGUGCGGUGUGUGGGUGGGUGGAUGGGUGUGUAUACACACAAUUGUCCAUAUAGAAAUGAUGGUCCAUAUAUAUAUGGAAUAUUAAAUUUUGAUUACAAUAAAUGGUUCAAAUGCUU
This 3684-nucleotide long non-coding RNA is filed under the name Homo sapiens (human). RNAcentral's name for it is "HSALNT0342630". Lineage: Eukaryota; Metazoa; Chordata; Mammalia; Primates; Hominidae. The record is from RNAcentral.